CACAGCCGCGGGAAUACGAAGGGUGCAAGCGUUACUCGGAAUUACUGGGCGUAAAGCGUGCGUAGGUGGUGGUUUAAGUCCGUUGUGAAAGCCCUGGGCUCAACCUGGGAAUUGCAGUGGAUACUGGGUCACUAGAGUGUGGUAGAGGAUAGUGGAAUUUCCGGUGUAGCAGUGAAAUGCGUAGAGAUCGGAAGGAACAUCUGUGGCGAAGGCGACUAUCUGGGCCAACACUGACACUGAGGCACGAAAGCGUGGGGAGCAAACAGGAUUAGAGACCCCUGUAGUCCCUGUCUCUUAUACA
RNAcentral lists this ribosomal RNA (301 nucleotides) under uncultured bacterium. Its description in RNAcentral is "partial 16S ribosomal RNA". It matches the Rfam family "Bacterial small subunit ribosomal RNA", at positions 510 to 808 of the family's 1533-position model. The record is from RNAcentral.